CAGUCGCCGCGGGAAUACGAAGGGUGCAAGCGUUACUCGGAAUUACUGGGCGUAAAGCGUGCGUAGGUGGUGGUUUAAGUCCGAUGUGAAAGCCCUGGGCUCAACCUGGGAAUUGCAGUGGAUACUGGGUCACUAGAGUGUGGUAGAGGAUAGUGGAAUUUCCGGUGUAGCAGUGAAAUGCGUAGAGAUCGGAAGGAACAUCUGUGGCGAAGGCGGCCCCCUGGACAAAGACUGACGCUCAGGUGCGAAAGCGUGGGGAGCAAACAGGAUUAGAUACCCGUGUAGUCCCUGUCUCUUAUAC
Molecule: ribosomal RNA, 301 nt
Filed under: uncultured bacterium
Lineage: Bacteria
Description: partial 16S ribosomal RNA
Rfam family: Bacterial small subunit ribosomal RNA
Source: RNAcentral